GGGCAGGUGGUGGAACAGGUAUACACGAGGGCCUUAAAAGCCCUUGGUCGCAAGGCUGUGAGGGUUCAACUCCCUCCCUGCCCA
Molecule: transfer RNA, 84 nt
Filed under: Candidatus Omnitrophota bacterium
Lineage: Bacteria; Pseudomonadati; Candidatus Omnitrophota
Also listed under: 1 other name
Description: Candidatus Omnitrophica bacterium tRNA-Leu
Rfam family: tRNA
About the family: Transfer RNA (tRNA) molecules are approximately 80 nucleotides in length. Their secondary structure includes four short double-helical elements and three loops (D, anti-codon, and T loops).
Source: RNAcentral